CCAUACUACUAGCAUUGACAUCCGUCACCCCAUUGAUCACCAGGGUUGAUUUGGCUGAUCUGGCUAGCUAGGUGGGAGUCCCCUUCUUCCCUCACCAUUGGAUGUGUGUCCCCCAUGAAGCUGAGGGCCCAUUUGAAGUGGACAACCUUCCCCAAAUAGAGGAGGACUGGUCUUCACUCAAGGGUAUAUGUGUAGAUGCACUCCCUGCUAGAACCUUCAAACAAGACUCUUCAGAUCCACUAUAAACAUUGAUACUGUUGCCAACAGAACACAUCUCUUCACUUUCCUGAAGAUACUUAGCAACAACAGUUAUCU
This 315-nucleotide small nuclear RNA is filed under the name Meriones unguiculatus (Mongolian gerbil). RNAcentral describes it as "7SK RNA (ENSMUGG00000012316.1)". It matches the Rfam family "7SK RNA". Rfam says of the family: 7SK was discovered as an abundant small nuclear RNA in the mid-70s but a possible function has only recently been suggested. Two independent studies have found that 7SK RNA binds the CDK9/cyclin T complex (known as elongation factor P-TEFb). The record is from RNAcentral. Lineage: Eukaryota; Metazoa; Chordata; Mammalia; Rodentia; Muridae.